GAACGCUGGCGGCGUGCUUAACACAUGCAAGUCGAACGAUGAACCGGUUUCGGCCGGGGAUUAGUGGCGAACGGGUGAGUAACACGUGGGCAAUCUGCCCUGCACUCUGGGACAAGCCCUGGAAACGGGGUCUAAUACCGGAUACAACCACUGACCGCAUGGUCCGGUGGUGGAAAGCUCCGGCGGUGCAGGAUGAGCCCGCGGCCUAUCAGCUUGUUGGUGAGGUAGUGGCUCACCAAGGCGACGACGGGUAGCCGGCCUGAGAGGGCGACCGGCCACACUGGGACUGAGACACGGCCCAGACUCCUACGGGAGGCAGCAGUGGGGAAUAUUGCACAAUGGGCGAAAGCCUGAUGCAGCGACGCCGCGUGAGGGAUGACGGCCUUCGGGUUGUAAACCUCUUUCAGCAGGGAAGAAGCGAGAGUGACGGUACCUGCAGAAGAAGCGCCGGCUAACUACGUGCCAGCAGCCGCGGUAAUACGUAGGGCGCAAGCGUUGUCCGGAAUUAUUGGGCGUAAAGAGCUCGUAGG
RNAcentral lists this ribosomal RNA (530 nucleotides) under Streptomyces griseoaurantiacus. RNAcentral's name for it is "bacterial SSU rRNA". It matches the Rfam family "Bacterial small subunit ribosomal RNA", at positions 31 to 575 of the family's 1533-position model. Lineage: Bacteria; Bacillati; Actinomycetota; Actinomycetes; Kitasatosporales; Streptomycetaceae. The record is from RNAcentral.